GACGAACCGUGCAAACGUUAUUCGGAAUCACUGGGCAUAAAGGGCGCGUAGGCGGCUUUCUAAGUCAGGGGUGAAAUCCGGCAGCUCAACUGUCGCAGUGCCUUUGAUACUGGAGAGCUCGAGGGAGGUAGGGGUCUGUGGAACUUCCGGUGGAGCGGUGAAAUGCGUUGAUAUCGGAAGGAACGCCGGUGGCGAAAGCGACGGACUGGAUCUCUUCUGACGCUGAGGUGCGAAAGCCAGGGGAGCAAACGGG
RNAcentral lists this ribosomal RNA (253 nucleotides) under uncultured bacterium. RNAcentral describes it as "partial 16S ribosomal RNA". It matches the Rfam family "Bacterial small subunit ribosomal RNA", at positions 524 to 776 of the family's 1533-position model. The record is from RNAcentral.